Hemibagrus wyckioides is the source of this 111-nucleotide small nuclear RNA. RefSeq annotates it as U5 spliceosomal RNA. The record is from RefSeq and is a predicted model, not a curated record. Lineage: Eukaryota; Metazoa; Chordata; Actinopteri; Siluriformes; Bagridae. The transcript has a single exon.
GAACUGGUUUUAAUAAAAAAAAAAAAAUCUUUUGCUUUUUACUAAAUAUUUCCUUGGAGAGGAACAUCAAUGAGUUUGAUGUAUUUUUAUGAGCUUUGCUCUGGCAAAGCU